CUGUAGUUGUGCUUCCAACUGUCGGCUUGGCAGUCGAAGGCUUCUGGGUGCUAGGCUGAGCUGUAGUUGUGCUUCCAACUGUUGGCUUGGCAGUCGAAGGCUUCUGGGUGCUAGGCUGAGCUGUUGAGGUACUUCCGAUAGUUGGCUUGGCAGUCGAAGGCUUCUGGGUGCUCGGCUGAGCUGUAGUUGUGCUUCCAACUGUUGGCUUGGCAGUCGAAGGCUUCUGGGUGCUAGGCUGAGCUGUUGAGGUACUUCCGAUAGUUGGCUUGGCAGUCGAAGGCUUCUGGGUGCUAGGCUGAGCUGUAGUUGUGCUUCCAACUGUUGGCUUGGCAGUCGAAGGCUUCUGGGUGCUAGGCUGAGCUGUUGAGGUACUUCCAACUGUCGGCUUGGCAGUCGAA
RNAcentral lists this small RNA (398 nucleotides) under Drosophila mojavensis. Its description in RNAcentral is "GI27087". The record is from RNAcentral. Lineage: Eukaryota; Metazoa; Arthropoda; Insecta; Diptera; Drosophilidae.